AGCUAUGUUGGCAGAGAAGUGCGUUAAAUUUAAGCUUUAAAAAAUGCGGAAAUUGCCGCACAUGGCUA
This 68-nucleotide transfer RNA is filed under the name Saccostrea cuccullata (small rock oyster). RNAcentral describes it as "Saccostrea cucullata (small rock oyster) tRNA-Leu". Lineage: Eukaryota; Metazoa; Mollusca; Bivalvia; Ostreida; Ostreidae. The record is from RNAcentral.